AGAAGCUGGUAUGUUUCUGCUUGCUCUUGUGUGCUCUGCCAAUUGCUAUGAGAAGAACACGUCUCUGGUCCCAGACAGAGGAUGGGGGACACGCAGAGCAGAGCCACUCCAGUCCAGCUGCCUUAGCUGAGCCCAGCCUAGACCAGCUGACCCCCAGCUGACUUACAGAUACGUGGAUGCCAAACUGGCUGGUAAUCAAGACCCUAAGGAGAAAACAUAUGCUCCAGACACCAGCUUUGCCUUGGCAGUGGUUACUACGGAAUAUUGAUUAGAGUUCCCUGUGCUAUACAGGUCACAAGAGACGAACAUUUGCCAUUUCUCAUCCUGCAUCGUUUUUGGAGGUUGUUAUGGAAAAUUGGCAGCCUAUCAUUUCCUUCAUACAGUUUGACACAAGGCUUUCAGAAGAGAGAGACUUGAAUGUCUCAUCUGCCUGGACGAGAUGAGGGUUGAAUUAUUGAACACCUGGUCAAGGGUUUUUAAGGACUUUAUAAAAGUAAACAUGUCACAAAAAGAUGUGUUUCCAAAUAUUUGAUUUAUAAGCCAUCUCUUGUACCAGAGGCCCUGAUCCCCAUGACUUUUCUCACCAUGGACAAUGAGACUUGAAGAAUAUGAACAGUUAUCUCUGUGCCAAAGUGCCAGUUCUUCGUGGACCGAAUGCAUCACACAAGAGAGGAUGGUGCCAAAACCAAAGGUGGACUCCAACAGACGUUGUGAGCUGCCCUGUAGCUGAGGAGCCGAUUCCCGAUGACAGCUAAGCAGGUUUAUAGUCUGCAGAUGGAUCUUGAGGGGUGAGGAAGGAAGCCUCAAAGCUCCUGAGAAGCUGGAAGGCGAAGAGAAACUGCCUCCUGAGCCUCCCAGGGGAGACGUGGAAUGGGGAGGGGACUUCAGAGCAGCCCUCACAGGCCUCCCGGGGCAACACAAGGCACUGGGCCAAGACUCAGGUGAGCUGUGGGUGGAGUUCACCUGCAUGCCCAUGUGGAUAUGUGCAAGCUCACCAUUUACAAUAUGUCAACAACAGAGAGUGAAUAUUUCUAGGCGGUGUGAGUGAAGAUACAGUCGUCUCUCCGUAUCUUGGGGGUUAGGUUCCAGGACCCCGCAGGAGCCAAAAUCCAAGGAUGAUCAAGUCCCUUGUAUAUCAUGAGAACAAUGUGCGGGCUCUUCUCUGAUCAAAAAAGAAGGUGACUGGAUUUUCAAGGCAGUGCCAUCUCCAAGCAGUGGAGUACAGCCCUCCUUUAUGAGAUGGGCUAGUUCAUCUUUAAAGCCAUUGAGAGUAUUAUAAUUAAUACACCUGCAAAGAUUUUUGGACCUUCACUAUGAGAGAAUGUCUUGGGGGAACUCAGCAGCCAUUUUUUAGUAAAAAUAAAUAUUCAUGUGUGUCCAAGAAAUGCCCCCAUGUCUACCAUAUUUAACCAUACACAGCAGAAAUGAUAAAUGUCCUGAGUCCUCACAGUUCCUUGUGUAACAGGUAAAUGUGCAAAGAAUUGACUUGUGGCAUUGAAGGAGAAUCCAAAGCACAGAACCAUCGAGGGCUUUGGUGAAUGCAACGUAACCAAUGUCUGUGGAAUGCCAGUGACAGGGCCGAUCACCAUAGAACUAUCUAGAAUGGGCAUUGCCGAACCAUUCCAGAGUGUUUAUCUUCAGGCACCUUGAGGCCCACACUGAGGAAUCCUGAGCUUCUGGUAGGAUCAGCGCCCCUUCAGGCAUCCUUGGAGUCACAGAUCUUAGUUUCCCAACGAGGGAUUGAACCUGGGCCACAGCAGUGAGAGCACGGAGUCCUAACCACUGGACCGCCAGCCAAUGAUGAAAUGUGACGGGGACCCCAGCGUCUGGAUGAAAUUCUCAAGUUUUUACUAGAGACAACAGUUAUCCUUUUGAUUUUCUAAAGCUUGAUUUCCGUGUUUGAAUAGGUAUGAGAAAAAUAAGUUCUGGCAAGCAAUAACUUGCAACUGCAGCUGUUUGGGGAAAAAAGAAAACAAGCAGUCUGGAAGGCAUAGAGAACCCUUGCCUUAUGUAGAAAUACUUCUCUGGACUUCCCUGGUGGCGCAGUGGUUGAGAAUCUGCCUGCCAGUGCAGGGGACACGGGUUUGAGCCCUGGUCUGGGAAGAUCCCACAUGCU
Non-coding RNA from Delphinapterus leucas (beluga whale), 2116 nucleotides. The record is from RefSeq and is a predicted model, not a curated record. Lineage: Eukaryota; Metazoa; Chordata; Mammalia; Artiodactyla; Monodontidae.